RNAcentral lists this ribosomal RNA (153 nucleotides) under Hypentelium nigricans (northern hog sucker). RNAcentral describes it as "partial 18S ribosomal RNA". It matches the Rfam family "Eukaryotic small subunit ribosomal RNA", at positions 751 to 901 of the family's 1831-position model. Lineage: Eukaryota; Metazoa; Chordata; Actinopteri; Cypriniformes; Catostomidae. The record is from RNAcentral.
UUUACUUUGAAAAAAUCCAGAGUGUUCAAAGCAGGCCCGGUAACGCCUGAAUACCACAGCUAGGAAUAAUGGAAUAGGACUCCGGUUCUAUUUUGUGGGUUUUCGGAACCGGGGCCAUGAUUGAGAGGGACGCGCGGGGGCAUUCGUAUUNGC